Molecule: ribosomal RNA, 481 nt
Filed under: uncultured bacterium
Lineage: Bacteria
Description: partial 16S ribosomal RNA
Rfam family: Bacterial small subunit ribosomal RNA
Source: RNAcentral
GAUGAACGCUGGCGGCGUGCUUAACACAUGCAAGUCGAACGAAGCACUUUAUUUGAUUUCCUUCGGGACUGAUUAUUUUGUGACUGAGUGGCGGACGGGUGAGUAACGCGUGGGUAACCUGCCUUGUACAGGGGGGUAACAUUUGGAAACGGCUGCUCAUACCGCAUAAGCGCACGGCAUCGCAUGAUGCAGUGUGGAAAACUCCGGUGGUAUAAGAUGGACCCGCGUUGGAUUAGCUAGUUGGUGAGGUAACGGCCCACCAAGGCGACGAGGCAUAGCCGACCUGAGAGGGUGCCCGGCCACAUUGGGACUGAGACACGGCCCCAACUCCUACGGGAGGCAGCAGUGGGGAAUAUUGCACAAUGGGCGAAAGCCUGAUGCAGCGACGCCGCGUGAGCGAAGAAGUAUUUCGGUAUGUAAAGCUCUAUCAGCAGGGAAGAUAAUGACGGUACCUGACUAAGAAGCACCGGCUAAAUACGUG